This 1952-nucleotide ribosomal RNA is filed under the name marine metagenome. RNAcentral describes it as "bacterial LSU rRNA". It matches the Rfam family "Bacterial large subunit ribosomal RNA", at positions 1 to 2149 of the family's 2925-position model. The record is from RNAcentral.
UUAAGUGACUAAGCGUACACGGUGGAUGCCUAGGCAGUAGAAGGCGAUGAAGGACGUGAUAGCCUGCGAUAAGCGACGGUGAGGUGGCAAAUACCCUAUGACCCGUCGAUUUCCGAAUGGGAAAACCCAUCCUUUAUGGAUAUCCUUUUUAAGGAAGCUAACCCGGAGAACUGAAACAUCUAAGUACCCGGAGGAAAAGAAAUCAACCGAGAUUCCCUUAGUAGCGGCGAGCGAACGGGGACCAGCCCUAAAGCAAUUAAUAAGAUAGCAGAAGUUUCUGGAAAGUAACACGGUACAGGGUGAUAGUCCCGUAUGCGAAAUGUUAUUAGUUGUUAUUCGAGUAGGACGGAACACGUGAAAUUCUGUCUGAAGAUGGGGGGACCACCCUCCAAGGCUAAAUACUCUCUACUGACCGAUAGUGAACCAGUACCGUGAGGGAAAGGCGAAAAGAACCCCUGAAGGGGAGUGAAAUAGAACCUGAAACCGUGUACGUACAAGCAGUGGGAGCACCCUCGUGGUGUGACUGCGUACCUUUUGUAUAAUGGGUCAGCGACUUACGUUAUGUAGCUAGGUUAACCGAAUAGGGGAGCCGUAGGGAAACCGAGUCUUAACUGGGCGACAAGUUGCAUGGCGUAGACCCGAAACCGGGCGAUCUAUCCAUGGCCAGGUUGAAGGUGCCGUAACAGGUACUGGAGGACCGAACCCACAAAUGUUGAAAAAUUUGGGGAUGAGCUGUGGAUCGGAGUGAAAGGCUAAUCAAGCCCGGAGAUAGCUGGUUCUCCUCGAAAACUAUUUAGGUAGUGCCUCAUGUCUUACUGCUGGGGGUAGAGCACUGUUAUGGUCUAGCGGUCCGUCAAGGAUUAGCAGCCCAUUGCAAACUCCGAAUACCAGCAAGUACAAUCAUGGGAGACAGACUGCGGGUGCUAACGUCCGUAGUCAAGAGGGAAACAACCCAGACCGCCAGCUAAGGUCCCUAAACACCGCUCAGUGGGAAAGGAUGUGGGAAGGCACAGACAGACAGGAGGUUGGCUUAGAAGCAGCCACCCUUUAAAGAAAGCGUAAUAGCUCACUGUUCGAGUCGGCCUGCGCCGAAGAUUUAACGGGGCUAAGUGGUGUACCGAAGCUGCGGAUACUUUUUUAAGUAUGGUAGAGGAGCGUUCUGUAAGCCUGCGAAGGUGUGUUGUAAAGCAUGCUGGAGGUAUCAGAAGUGCGAAUGCUGACAUGAGUAGCGAUAAAGGGAGUGAAAAGCUCCCUCGCCGAAAGACCAAGGGUUCCUACGCAACGCUAAUCGACGUAGGGUUAGUCGGCCCCUAAGGUGAGUCCGAAAGGAGUAGCCGAUGGGAAACAGGUUAAUAUUCCUGUACCAGUUGGAGGAUGACGGAUCAGGUAAGUAUGCUUGUCUUAUUGGAUUGAUAAGUAUAUGAACUGGUUCCAAGAAAUAGCACCAACAUAAUGACCGUACCCCAAACCAACACAGGUGGUCGGGAUGAGUAUUCUAAGGCGCUUGAGAGAACUCGGGUGAAGGAACUAGGCAAAAUGACACCGUAACUUCGGGAGAAGGUGUGCCCACGCAAGUGGGCCGCAGUGACUAGGUGGCUGCAACUGUUUACUAAAAACAUAGCACUCUGCAAAAUCGAAAGAUGACGUAUAGGGUGUGACGCCUGCCCGGUGCCGGAAGGUUAAUUGAUGGGGUUAGCUUAUGCGAAGCUCUUGAUCGAAGCCCCGGUAAACGGCGGCCGUAACUAUAACGGUCCUAAGGUAGCGAAAUUCCUUGUCGGGUAAGUUCCGACCUGCACGAAUGGCGUAAUGAUGGCCACACUGUCUCCACCCGAGACUCAGCGAAAUUGAAAUCGCAGUUAAGAUGCUGCGUCCCCGCGGCUAGACGGAAAGACCCCGUGAACCUUUACUACAGCUUUGCACUGGACUUUGACCUAAUUUGUGUAGGAUAGGUG